This 550-nucleotide long non-coding RNA is filed under the name Falco tinnunculus (common kestrel). RNAcentral describes it as "lncRNA (ENSFTIG00000013860.1)". Lineage: Eukaryota; Metazoa; Chordata; Aves; Falconiformes; Falconidae. The record is from RNAcentral.
UAACACUGGAAUUAGGUCAGCCAGUGAAGCAAAUGCCAGCAUAUGAUAAACUGAGUAUUUUGUUCAGUCUUGCUUAAAUGAUUCCAGUUAACUGAGCUACAGCAAUCCAAUGACAUCGGAUGUCACCUGUUCCACAGCAAUAUAAAAGCCCCAGUCACCCAUGUGUUGGUUCAUGUCAUUCACCAGAACAGUCGCAGCAGGCGUGCACGGACAGGACGGUAAUCGAUAACUCAUCAGUGACUCUGCAGAAGCAUCCCGGAAAGGACGUGUUUCUGACGGCUCCAUAGCUCCAGGGGUGUGCAGGGAGGCUCCAAGGUGUGACAGCAUCAUUUAUUUCUGCAACGGAACAGAAGAAUGCGCUCAGCUGCGCUUCUCAGCAGCUCUGCAGCCUGUGGACAGUGUGGGCAGUUUUCUGUACGCAGCAUCCGGGAAAAUGUGCGUUCCCUUGAAGUGAUCUGCUAAAAAGCACGUACUUGUACAGUUGUUGUAGCCUGCCUUGUUGCACUGCUUUUACGGUCUGAAAUGCCUGGUCUUUAAUACUGCCUGGGAU